CCACCAUGCCUCCCCCGAUCAGGUAUUAUCCAACUUUUGAAUUUCUUACAUAUUUAUAUGCUAAAUGACGGCCAUUGGAAUUUAAUUUAUUGCUUGCGUAGUUGAUUUCAGCUUUGGUUUUCGAUUUGAAGUCACAAUUUUUGUGACAUUUUAAUGACUAUGCUUCAUCUUUGAAGCUUGCAGUUGUUCUCACCUUUUAUCAGAAUAUAAGAAGAAGGAAAAAUUGCUCUCUUCUUAUCUCCCUUUAUAUACAUAUUAAAGAAAACAGAAAUUAGAAGAGAGAAA
This 285-nucleotide unclassified non-coding RNA is filed under the name Hevea brasiliensis (rubber tree). The record is from RNAcentral. Lineage: Eukaryota; Viridiplantae; Streptophyta; Magnoliopsida; Malpighiales; Euphorbiaceae.